UAAACGUUGAUUUCCUCUCGCCCUACUCAGAAUGGCACCACCCAGAAGGCCAGUAGCUCACACCAGGCGUGGAACCACCCUGUGACCCAGAACUGAUCCUGAAAAACUCAAGUCCUCUUGCUGCAGUGACCCCUGCACACACCCAGGUUCACAGUGGCACAGUUCACAGUAGCCAGACUACAGAACCAGCUCAGGGGUCCGUCAGUGGACAUCCAUUUCUGUCAAGAAAUGUGGUCUCUCUGCACUCUGGAGUACUACUCGGCCGUGAAAAAGAAUGAAACGAUGGCGUUUGCAGGAAAACAGAUGGAACUAGAGACCAUGAGGCUAAGAGAAAUAAGUCCAUCUCAGAAGGUCCAGGGCGGGCAGCUCGGAACAGGCAGGAAACCCAAGCAGCCAUCAGGCUCCGGCCUGUGCUCUCGGGUAGAACCCUGGGGACAACAGGGAUGGCGUCUGGACCGCGGCCCGGAUUCCACCUUCUCCAGAACCAGCUACAAAUCCUGCGUCAACGAGGAAAUGCGCUCUGGGGCCGGCAGCUCGCGGGAAAUCCGGGGCUGCGCUGCGGGGGGGCGAUCCGUCCGGUUAGCAGAGCGGUGCAUGAGGAUGUCACCCCGAGGAGGACCUGGCAAAGCCGGCGCCGAGUGGCAGGUGCUUCCAAGCCCCAACGGAGCCCCGGUCCUAGAGCCUGGGAUACCGCCCUGAGCGCAACGCAUGCACCCCGCGAGGCCCGAGCUGCGCACCAAGGGGCCUGUCCUCCCCGGAGCUCGGGAGGCUGAGGCAGGAGGAUGGCGAGUUCAAAGCCAGCCUCAGCCAAAGGGAGGCCCUGAGCAACUCGGGGAGACCCUGUCUCUAUUGCUGCAUGUUCUAGUUUCCAGGGAUUUUUUUUCCUCCAUCACUAACUGUUCUCUAAAGAGUUUUUACCAACUUAAUUUUGGGAGUUUGGGGGACACAGGGAUGCUCCACAACUGGGUCAAACCCCGAUCGUUUUUUAAUUUUAUUUUGAGGCCGAGUCUUGCUACGUUGCUUCGGGUUUCAGUGAGUUGCUGAGGCUGGCCUUCACCUCAGGAUCCUCCUGCCUCGGCCUCCCGAGUUGUGGAAUCACGGGUGUGCACAGGCUCCCUGAUUGGAUUCGGGGGAUACUCACUUUCAAGGCCAAACCAGAAUGGGGAAGAAGGUCGAAAAUACCAGAAGAAACCGAAAGCAGAACAGGGCACCGAUUUGGGGAACUGUCUACACCUCCGUCCCACAAAUGGAAACUCCCAAGGAGCAUUGAUGCGUGUGAGUUUUCAAAUCCACUGUGACUUCUUCUACUUGAUAAAGACAUGAAAACACCCCGUGCCCCCUGCAAAACCUGGAGGAACACGUGACAGUGGCCUCCCUCUGUUGGGUGGUCGGAGAAGAUGCCCUUUCGCAACACUGGACGUGGUGGGAUGGGAAACGGGUAGAAUUCAAUCCACUUGAAAUGAUUCGGUUAUGAGAGGUGUAGACUAAAAGUGGAUUAAUCCACUUGGAUGGACUCACUGGGUGGUGACUGCAGCAGGUGGGGUGUGGCUGGAGGAGGGGGUCCCUGGGCUGUGCCUUUGGGGUCUCUGUCCUGUCCCUGGUGAGCAGAGCUCUCUCUGCUCCCUGGUGCCCUGUCCUGAGCUGCUCUCCUCCUCCAGGCCCUGCCGCCAUCUUGUUCUGCCUCCCCUUGGGCCAGAGCCAUGGAGUCGGCCACCAGGGACUGGACCUCGGACACCAGGAGCCCAGGUCAACUCUUCCUCCGUGUUCUCUUUGGUGGGAAGGAGGUCAAGAAGCGGAAGAAAGUAGACCAGUGGUCACUAGCGGAUGGGAAGGGCAAAGCCGGGGUGUUGGAGGGUGGUUGGAUAGCGGGUAGCACGGUGCACUCUGACCCAAGGAGGGAGCUCCACAGACAGGGGGUGGGCCGUCCUCCACUAGAACCCAGUGCAUAUUCCACAGGUUUCCGGAAGAGAUGGCGUGAGGGCUUCAAAUGCAGACGUGACGGGAGGUGGACGUGCUGGAUUCAGAACAGAACAGAACGUUAGCAGCAUCAGGGGAGGAGAAAUGGAAUCCCCAGAUGACCGGCCGGAAUCCAGUGGACACACGCUUCAGAAUCCCCUCCCUCCCCUCGAGCGUGCGUUGGACAUCUCCGACGGUGGACAUUCAAUGAUGGCGCUGACCCUUCCGCCAACUUCGUGUCCAUAAAACAAAGGUGACCCUGGGUGGCCUUGGACGAAUCCAAAGGAGACCUUGAUAAAGAAGAAAUGGUGGCGGCAUCCAGCAGAUUCUGGUUUCAGAGAGGAAAAGAAAGCACCGUGUUCCAUGAAGACCCAUGGAGGGAACCAUUGGUCCAGAACCUGAGGGCAGGCUCCAUUGAAUGAGAUCGACCCCGAGCCAGUGGCCAGUGAGAAGGACAGGACUCCAGCCCUGCACCCUCAGUAGACUGAGUUGCCCCAACGCCAUGACAACAUGAGUGUCCAAGAGGCUCGGCGGGUGGGUGAUCAUGGCGCCAUUUUGAGGAGAUCACUGGUGACCGUGGGUGCUGGGGAGACCAUCAUGGCGCACUCGGGCGAUCGUACGGUACUGUGAACCCACAGAACAUACAACAUCGGGAGGUCACUCCGCAAAGAGGUCAACUUUGGGUAAAUGGAGAUGCCAAUGUGGGUCUGUCCAUUGUAACAGGGAACAGGGGGAAGAUGUUGGUAAUGGAGGAGGCUGUGCUAUAGCAAGGGUUCGGGGGGUGUGGAUAGUCUCAGUAGUUUCUACUCGAUUUGGAGGUGAACCUAAAAUUUUCCUAAAAAAAAUAAAGUCUAUUAAAAAUCGACCAAAAAAAAAUGACAAUAUUGUUGAGGGCAUUUUCUAG
Molecule: long non-coding RNA, 2860 nt
Filed under: Marmota monax (woodchuck)
Lineage: Eukaryota; Metazoa; Chordata; Mammalia; Rodentia; Sciuridae
Source: RNAcentral